RNAcentral lists this ribosomal RNA (472 nucleotides) under Rhizophagus intraradices. Its description in RNAcentral is "eukaryotic LSU rRNA". It matches the Rfam family "Eukaryotic large subunit ribosomal RNA", at positions 288 to 630 of the family's 3401-position model. Lineage: Eukaryota; Fungi; Glomeromycota; Glomeromycetes; Glomerales; Glomeraceae. The record is from RNAcentral.
UAAAAUGGGAGGUAAAUUUCUCCUAAGGCUAAAUAACGGCGAGAGACCGAUAGCGAACAAGUACCGUGAGGGAAAGAUGAAAAGAACUUUGAAAAGAGAGUUAAACAGUACGUGAAAUUGUUGAAAGGGAAACGAUUGAAGCCAGUCGUACCUUCGGGUAAUCAGCCUUUCGGGUGCGAUUCUGUGGAGUGUGAUGAGCUUAACACCUUCAUGCUUUGCAUAUUUGUGCUCUUGGGUGUACUUGCCCGUGUGGUAGGUUAACAUCGAUUUUGGUUAUCAUAAAAUGAUUGGAGGAAUGUAGCUUCGAUCUCGUAUUGAAGUGUUAUAGCCUUCGGUAGAUGUGAUGAACGAGAUUGAGGAUUGCAACGGAUACCCUUCGGGGCUACCUGUCUGGUCUCUGAUCGUUGCUCUGGUGCCGAAAGCUUGCUUACGGUCAUCAAAGUCGAUGGUCAAUAGGUUAGAACGGGUUAAA